Lontra canadensis (Northern American river otter) is the source of this 188-nucleotide small nuclear RNA. RefSeq annotates it as U2 spliceosomal RNA. Lineage: Eukaryota; Metazoa; Chordata; Mammalia; Carnivora; Mustelidae. The record is from RefSeq and is a predicted model, not a curated record. The transcript has a single exon.
AUUGCUUCUCAGCCUUUUGGCUAAGAUCAAGUGUAUUAACGAAAGUCACUAGUAAUAGUCCUGUUAAAUAAAGUCAUUCUUGCUUCUGAUUAAACGUGGAUCACUUUUUAAGCUAACUACAUAAGAAUCCUAGAUGCCACUUUUACAAUCUUAGGAAUUCCACUUUCUCCCUGAAAUAUUUAGUUCAG